GACGAACGCUGGCGGCGUGCCUAAUACAUGCAAGUCGAACGAGAGCGACCGGUGCUUGCACUGGUCAAUCUAGUGGCGAACGGGUGAGUAACACGUGGGUAACCUGCCCAUCAGAGGGGGAUAACAUCCGGAAACGGAUGCUAAAACCGCAUAGGUCUUCGAGCCGCAUGGCUUGAAGAGAAAAAGAGGCGCAAGCUUCUGCUGAUGGAUGGACCCGCGGUGCAUUAGCUAGUUGGUGAGGUAACGGCUCACCAAGGCCGUGAUGCAUAGCCGACCUGAGAGGGUGAUCGGCCACAUUGGGACUGAGACGCGGCCCAAACUCCUACGGGAGGCAGCAGUAGGGAAUCUUCCGCAAUGGACGCAAGUCUGACGGAGCAACGCCGCGUGAGUGAAGAAGGUUUUCGGAUCGUAAAACUCUGUUGUUAGAGAAGAACAAGUGCUAGAGUAACUGUUAGCGCCUUGACGGUAUCUAACCAGAAAGCCACGGCUAACUACGUG
This 498-nucleotide ribosomal RNA is filed under the name uncultured bacterium. Its description in RNAcentral is "partial 16S ribosomal RNA". It matches the Rfam family "Bacterial small subunit ribosomal RNA", at positions 28 to 507 of the family's 1533-position model. The record is from RNAcentral.